UAAUACGUAGGCAGCGAGCGUUGUUCGGAGUUACUGGGCGUAAAGCGUGCGUAGGCGGUUGUCUAAGUUUGGUGUGAAAUCUCCCGGCUUAACUGGGAGGGUGCGCCGAAAACUGGGUGACUGGAGUGUCGGAGAGGUAAGCGGAAUUCCUGGUGUAGCGGUGAAAUGCGUAGAGAUCAGGAGGAACACCUGUGGUGUAGACAGCUUACUGGACGAUAACUGACGCUGAGGCACGAAAGCGUGGGUAGCAAACAGGAUUAGAUACCCUGGUAGUCCACGCCCUAAACGAUGCAUACUUGGUGUGGGCAGUUCAUUCUGUCCGUGCCGGAGCUAACGCGUUAAGUAUGCCGCCUGGGGAGUACGGUCGCAAGGCUG
Molecule: ribosomal RNA, 375 nt
Filed under: uncultured bacterium
Lineage: Bacteria
Description: bacterial SSU rRNA
Rfam family: Bacterial small subunit ribosomal RNA
Source: RNAcentral